RNAcentral lists this ribosomal RNA (429 nucleotides) under bacterium. Its description in RNAcentral is "partial 16S ribosomal RNA". It matches the Rfam family "Bacterial small subunit ribosomal RNA", at positions 355 to 776 of the family's 1533-position model. The record is from RNAcentral.
UAGGGAUUCUUCCACAAUGGACGCAAGUCUGAUGGAGCAACGCCGCGUGAGUGAAGAAGGUUUUCGGAUCGUAAAGCUCUGUUGUUGGUGAAGAAGGAUAGAGGCAGUAACUGGUCUUUAUUUGACGGUAAUCAACCAGAAAGUCACGGCUAACUACGUGCCAGCAGCCGCGGUAAUACGUAGGUGGCAAGCGUUGUCCGGAUUUAUUGGGCGUAAAGCGAGCGCAGGCGGAAUGAUAAGUCUGAUGUGAAAGCCCACGGCUCAACCGUGGAACUGCAUCGGAAACUGUCAUUCUUGAGUGCAGAAGAGGAGAGUGGAAGUCCAUGUGUAGCGGUGGAAUGCGUAGAUAUAUGGAAGAACACAAGUGGCGAAGGCGGCUCUCUGGUCUGCAACUGACGCUGAGGCUCGAAAGCAUGGGUAGCGAACAGG